Long non-coding RNA from Canis lupus familiaris (dog), 3016 nucleotides. RefSeq lists it as uncharacterized. The record is from RefSeq and is a predicted model, not a curated record. The transcript is spliced from 5 exons. Lineage: Eukaryota; Metazoa; Chordata; Mammalia; Carnivora; Canidae.
GGGAUGAGGAGGGCUGGGCCGCGGAGGGAAGAGCAGGGUCCAGGACGAGGGUGGAGGAGCCCGGGAGGCAGAGGAGCCUCCGGGCUCUCUCUCGUCAACCUUUCACCUGGAUGAUAGGUCUGUGCUACCAGAUUUUGUCAUCCUCUGGCACGGCCCAGCGUAUUCACUCCUCCUGGAUGCACUUCUCUGCUCUGCCUGAAGGAUGGCGAUGAAAUGACAUCUCCAUGGAAACAAGUGUUGAUCCUACAGCUGCUUAGUGAUGUGGUGCAGGAUGAUGUAAGCUACGCUCUGGUUUCCUGAGGCGCUUGGUGUGCUUUGAUGUGCCUGUGCUACUGGAGCCCAGAUGAUUAGGAGGUUGCUUCCCUUGCUUCUCCCCUUCUUAUGUAAAAGGCAAAAAGAGCUGGAGAUUGAGCUGUGCUGGGAGGAAUGCUCUUGUAAAGACAGCUGUGUCAGGAGUCAGAGGAUUUUCACCUGUGAGAUGGGAUUCAGCAAGCGCAGGCCCAAGGCACAGUGCACCGGCCCCAGAGAGCCCUCCCUGAUCAUGCCCUGCUGGGGCACUUCCUGGCGUCGACCCUUCUACAUCCUCAUUUCUUCUCGUGGAUAGUGACAUAGUGUGCAUACCUAGUACACGCUCAUCUGGUUGAGGACUGUUUACGCUUCCAGUCCCAAACAGAUAUUUUACCCCAGUUAAAAAUAGCUCCUCACACAAGGGCUGAAAACAGGCUCCUUCUCUGAGCACUUCCUCGCGCGGGUUCUCAGCCUCCCCCUGAAUCAUCGUCCCUGAGCCGCUUCACCGCCACCUCAUGGAGAGGCAAGCCAAGGCCUCCCACGCUUCCUCUGGGGACGCUGUCAGCCAGUGCCUGUCCCGUUGCUGUCCAGCCAGCCCGAAUCAGGUCUUAAUAUGCAGCCAGAUGGUGUUGCUGCCCCUUCCAGAACCACCGCCUGCUGUUCCUCCAGCAAAGAGGAAGGAGCACACCUUUUGUCCCGGUACCAGGAAGCCAGCAGUCCCUUCUGUGGCUCGAUUUUAGCAGAGCCUCUCCGCCACUCGGAAUAGUUCCUGAGUCUUCUCCUCUACCCGGUGCUCCAGGCAGAGUUUUGACCUGUCAGGAAAUGGUGUUUGAGGUGUGCUGAGGAAGCAGAGGAGGAGGCGAGGAUGGAAAAUCCAAACAUCUGGGCAGCCCGGGUGGCUCAGCGGUUUAGAGCCGCCUCCAGCCCAGGGUGUGAUCCUGGGGACCCGGGAUCGAGUCCCGUGUCAGGCUCCCUGCAUGGAGCCUGCUCCUCCCUCUGCCUGUGUCUUUGCCUCUCUCUCUCUCUGUGUCUCUCAUGAAUAAAUAAAUAAAAUAAUAAUAAAAAAGAAGAAAAUCCAAACAUCUUUCCAAAAUCGCUGUGGACAGGCAAUUUAUGUUUUCGCAUCAGUCUGGCUUUCAAACAACCAGAGCCACUCGUCCGAUGAGUUCCUGGCAUUCUCAUAAGCCAUACCAUCAUGCCUCCAUCUGGGAAUCAGACAGAGUUGUGACAACCUGUAGAACCAUCCAGCUGAGUCAGGUGACAGGUUCCUGAGCCGGCUGGACAGGCUGUGGCAUCACCCACACUGAAGAUAAUAACACCACGAAGAAAGUUCUCUCCAUUCUGGAAACCUAAAGGAAUGUGUGCAAGUCCCUGCCACCCCACCCCCUGGCCAUCAUUCAGCCACAUACAUACUCCUUGUCUUCAGUACGACUUCCACGUUGGUGCUACUUCAAGAGCUCUGAGGCUGCAGAAGCUGGAGAUGACUGCUUCUCCCUCCCAGAUCCUGGGCUCCUGCUUAUACCCGUGAGGAAUUUAUUGCACGUUUCCCCGCUUUUUUUCAGCUGAGUGAGACACACACAGGCUAUGCACCUUGUUCCAUGAUUUGUCAGGGGUCGAGGUGGGGGAUUCACCUCUGGCCUUUUCAUCCUUAAGUCAGUGUCUUGUGUGUUUCCGCAAUCAUCAUGGACAUUGGCACCUCAGCAUCCCGACCGCUAACAGAUACGUUUUGCUCUUUCUCUCUGUCAUUGCACUGUGGGCCCAUCAGACUCCUCAGACUCCAUCCAUGCAUUCUGCAGAGGGGGGACCCCCAGGCUCAGACCCAGGCACCAAGUCCCCCAGCCCGCAGAUGGCAAAACAGGGAGGGAAUUCAGCUUCCUUGAGGAUGGUGUCCCCUUCAGCUCCAGCAAAUCAUCAACUUCCUUAGCCCAAAGUGCAGUGCUCUCCGUGACUUGCACCCCCCAAUCCUUUCGGCAGUCCUGAAUGGCAGCAAUAGGAGGGGUCCACUUCUAGGCAGGGCAGACCCAGGAGACAACCCCAGGGUGGGUUAGGUUUUGUGGAGCCUGAAAUUUAUACAAUUUUGAAGACUGUCUUUAUGAAAGACAUGCACCCACGGACUACUUUUGCUGAUUUCGCAGAAACCAGGGAGCUGCUGUUGAGGGGCCCUGAAGAUGAUGCUUCAUUAUCUCCCCAGUAAUCCGCCUCUGUAUAAAAUGCUAAGCACUGCUGAGGGCACGCAAAACCUGGGUCACUCUCCCCUCUGCUCGCAGGCAUCUUGUCUGGCACAGAUGCAAAAUUACAGUAUCUUUGCAUCUGAAAACAGCACUGUCAUCCCAGAGCCCUGGAGGCCCAUUCUACAUGUCAAGCUAAUUAUUAGGUGAUGAGAGAAUGGCUCCAGUGUGUGCUGCCUGGGUGAGCUCUGCCGCUGCCAAAACACCCCUGGAGGCCAAGUGACAGGCUUGCAAAGAGGGGAAGAAUGAAAGGUUUCAGGUCUGGAUGCUAAAAACCAGCCCUGAGCUCACCCCUGUCAGGAAGCUGCCUCAGAGGUGGAGGAUAGGAGGGAGGCUGUGGCCGAGGCUGGAGGAAGCCAGGGCAGGUACAGACCAGUUCCCCAGAGAAAGCAGCAGUGGGAAUUUAUUUUUUUAUUUGUUUUUUAUUGAAGUUCGAUUUGCCAACAUAUGUAUAACACCCAGUGCUCAUCCCAUCAAGGGUCCUCCUCUGUGCCCCUCAC